RNAcentral lists this ribosomal RNA (460 nucleotides) under uncultured bacterium. RNAcentral describes it as "partial 16S ribosomal RNA". It matches the Rfam family "Bacterial small subunit ribosomal RNA", at positions 338 to 795 of the family's 1533-position model. The record is from RNAcentral.
UCUACGGGAGGCAGCAGUGAGGAAUAUUGGUCAAUGGGCUUACGCCUGAACCAGCCAAGUCGCGUGAGGGAAGACUGCCCUAUGGGUUGUAAACCUCUUUUGUCAGGGAGCAAUUGGCGCUACGUGUAGCGUUAUCGAGAGUACCUGAAGAAAAAGCAUCGGCUAACUCCGUGCCAGCAGCCGCGGUAAUACGGAGGAUGCGAGCGUUAUCCGGAUUUAUUGGGUUUAAAGGGUGCGUAGGCGGACUGGAAAGUCAGCGGUAAAAUCGAGAGGCUCAACCUCUUUCCGCCGUUGAAACUGUCGGUCUUGAGUGGGCGAGAAGUAUGCGGAAUGCGUGGUGUAGCGGUGAAAUGCAUAGAUAUCACGCAGAACUCCGAUUGCGAAGGCAGCAUACCGGCGCCCGACUGACGCUGAGGCACGAAAGCGUGGGUAUCGAACAGGAUUAGAUACCCCAGUAGUC